Molecule: ribosomal RNA, 153 nt
Filed under: Muraltia leptorhiza
Lineage: Eukaryota; Viridiplantae; Streptophyta; Magnoliopsida; Fabales; Polygalaceae
Description: 5.8S ribosomal RNA
Rfam family: 5.8S ribosomal RNA
About the family: 5.8S ribosomal RNA (5.8S rRNA) is a component of the large subunit of the eukaryotic ribosome.
Source: RNAcentral
GAACGACUCUCGGCAACGGAUAUCUCGGCUCUCGCAUCGAUGAAGAACGUAGCGAAAUGCGAUACUUGGUGUGAAUUGCAGAAUCCCGUGAACCAUCGAGUCUUUGAACGCAAGUUGCGCCCGAUGCCUUCUGGCCGAGGGCACGUCUGCCUG